GGCUUGGGUCUCCUGGAGAUCAGGAGGAGACAUUGGAGAAGGCGCAGGCAUAUACUGAGGUGUGGCAGUGAGCUGAGGCUAUGGUGAAGGCUCCUAUGGCCACCCAGGGCGAGGUGAUUACUGAUUAAACUCUAAAGGAGACACAGAACAAGGACAGCGGAGGUCUUUUGCCCGGAGUGGGUUGCUCAUGACUACCAGUCACUGUCACCCAGACUAAUCAACAGCAUUUGUUCAGAACUGGUGAGACUCCUCGCCCAGCAAGACAGUGCCUCGCUUUUCAAUGAAGGUUCCGCAGAGUAGCAAGAAAGAAAAUAGGAAGAUGACAGUUGGCACGGACAGCUUGCCAUGGCCUGGCGCUGUGAGAAGAACCAGAAACUGAGGCAUAGGGAUGCUAAUGGACUGUCUGCAGCCAGGCUUGGCAAGGCCGAGCUUUCAGCCCACACCAUGCCCCAAUGGCGCUACAGAACAGAAUUAGAAUACACUUUCACUGUCUAUGGGCUUCUGCCACCAAAGACCUUCAUGGUCACCCACAGCUGCCCCUUGAACUGCAUUCUUAAUUGCUAAAGUGGUGUCACCAUCCCAGAAGUUUGGGCAACUCUGAGCUGGGUUUCUCCUAAGACUACUCCAGCCUUGAAAGUCUCUUCUCUGGCACGAUCUCUUCAGGACCGUCCUAGCAUCUACUUACUUAAUACAGCUCCCCUUAUCAAAUACAUGAAGGUGUGUACCUACACGCCUAGCUAUAAACUUCCUCAAAGCUAGGUUUCACCUUUGACCCUGAUCCCUUCCAACCUUCAGCAAGACUUACUUUCUCACUCAAAAGUUUUGAGUAAAGUCCUAUAGUCUGAUAUGGUGCCACACAUGUAUAAUCCUGGCAUGUGGGAAGCCAGAGGAUCAUGAAUUCAAGUUUACCCAUAGCUUAAAAGUAAGUUUGGGGAUGCUUGUCUCAAAAGCAAACUACAUCAAACAAAAAGCCAGGAAACAACCAAGCAAAUAAAAACAGUCUAGUC
Molecule: long non-coding RNA, 1007 nt
Filed under: Cricetulus griseus (Chinese hamster)
Lineage: Eukaryota; Metazoa; Chordata; Mammalia; Rodentia; Cricetidae
Description: lncRNA (ENSCGRG00015031629.1)
Source: RNAcentral